This 73-nucleotide transfer RNA is filed under the name Rhodothermaceae bacterium. It matches the Rfam family "tRNA". Rfam says of the family: Transfer RNA (tRNA) molecules are approximately 80 nucleotides in length. Their secondary structure includes four short double-helical elements and three loops (D, anti-codon, and T loops). RNAcentral also lists the same sequence under 3 other names. Lineage: Bacteria; Pseudomonadati; Rhodothermota; Rhodothermia; Rhodothermales; Rhodothermaceae. The record is from Rfam by way of RNAcentral.
GCCGAAGUAGCUCAGCUGGUAGAGCAGCUCACUCGUAAUGAGCAGGUCGGCGGUUCGAGUCCGCUCUUCGGCU